GUUGUAUGGUUAAGUGACUAAGCGUACACGGUGGAUGCCUUGGCAGUCAGAGGCGAUGAAAGACGUAGUAACUUGCGAUAAGCCCAGAUUAGGUAGUAACAACCAUUUGAGUCUGGGAUUUCUGAAUGGGGAAACCCACGUGCAUAAGCACGUAUCCUUACCUGAAUACAUAGGGUAAGG
RNAcentral lists this ribosomal RNA (180 nucleotides) under Vibrio parahaemolyticus. RNAcentral's name for it is "partial 23S ribosomal RNA". It matches the Rfam family "Bacterial large subunit ribosomal RNA", at positions 1 to 176 of the family's 2925-position model. The record is from RNAcentral. Lineage: Bacteria; Pseudomonadati; Pseudomonadota; Gammaproteobacteria; Vibrionales; Vibrionaceae.